RNAcentral lists this long non-coding RNA (442 nucleotides) under Homo sapiens (human). RNAcentral describes it as "non-protein coding lnc-ZNF792-1:9". The record is from RNAcentral. Lineage: Eukaryota; Metazoa; Chordata; Mammalia; Primates; Hominidae.
CCAACCACACAGCUGCCUCAGCAAGCGUAGGAGAUGGCACAUCAGAGACCAACAAUUGUCAGCACAGCAAAACUGGGCAUUUCUUUUCUUACUGAGCUUUGCAGCUACCUACACAGUUGUGUGUGGCAUCUCCUCCUGGGUGCAAGGACAUGAGAUGACAUCAGUUACUGUGAUCUCCAGUAAAAUGUUUAAUACAAGUGGAGACAAUAGAUAACCUUUUCCAACUCCUGAUCGGGGGGUGGAAAGUGCUCAGUGUGCUAUUAACUUAAGGCUUUUAUAGAUGUGCUUUAUCAUGUAAAGGCUGUUCCCUCCAAUUCUUUCUAUACUGAGAAAUUUUUUCAAAGAGGUGUUAAAUUUUUUCAACCCAUGUCACAAAUCUGCAUAUGUACUCCCCUAAACCUAAAAUAAAAGUUGGAAAGAAAAAUAAAACUAUUACUUGAAA